Cajanus cajan (pigeon pea) is the source of this 77-nucleotide non-coding RNA. Lineage: Eukaryota; Viridiplantae; Streptophyta; Magnoliopsida; Fabales; Fabaceae. The record is from Rfam.
AGGAGCCGUAUGAGGUAAAAAUCUCAUGUACGGUUCUGUAGUAGAGAUGGAAUUGAGAAAGAACCAUCAACUAUAAC